CCUACGGGGGGCAGCAGUGAGGAAUAUUGGUCAAUGGACGAGAGUCUGAACCAGCCAAGUAGCGUGAAGGAUGACUGCCCUAUGGGUUGUAAACUUCUUUUAUAUGGGAAUAAAAUGUUCCACGUGUGGGAUUUUGUAUGUACCAUAUGAAUAAGGAUCGGCUAACUCCGUGCCAGCAGCCGCGGUAAUACGGAGGAUCCGAGCGUUAUCCGGAUUUAUUGGGUUUAAAGGGGGCGUAGGUGGAUUGUUAAGUCAGUUGUGAAAGUUUGCGGCUCAACCGUAAAAUUGCAGUUGAUACUGGCAGUCUAGAGAACAGUAGAGGUAGGCGGAAUUCGUGGUGUAGCGGUGAAAUGCUUAGAUAUCACGAAGAACUCCGAUUGCGAAGGCAGCUCACUGGACUGCAACUGACACUGAGGCUCGAAAGUGUGGGUAUCAAACAGGAUUAGAUAUCCCUGUAGUC
Molecule: ribosomal RNA, 460 nt
Filed under: uncultured bacterium
Lineage: Bacteria
Description: partial 16S ribosomal RNA
Rfam family: Bacterial small subunit ribosomal RNA
Source: RNAcentral